UUAAGUAGAGGUUGCGUGUUGCAAGAGUAGCUCGGAAGAUAUUUCAGGAAAUAGAUGAUUCAGAGUUGAAAGGGUAAUACGCCGAAAGCGGAUUCUUCCUGUUGGAAUUUUGCUUGGGCAUAGGGUUAAGAGUCCUAUGACUGUCAUCUUAUCAGAUGGGGAGCUACG
RNAcentral lists this non-coding RNA (168 nucleotides) under bovine gut metagenome. Its description in RNAcentral is "Lysine riboswitch". It matches the Rfam family "Lysine riboswitch aptamer". Rfam says of the family: Riboswitches are metabolite binding domains within certain messenger RNAs that serve as precision sensors for their corresponding targets. The record is from RNAcentral.